GGAGAGAUGUCCGAGAGGUCGAAGGAGCACGAUUGGAAAUCGUGUGUACUGCAAGGUACCGAGGGUUCGAAUCCCUCUCUCUCCG
RNAcentral lists this transfer RNA (85 nucleotides) under Geobacter pickeringii. It matches the Rfam family "tRNA". Rfam says of the family: Transfer RNA (tRNA) molecules are approximately 80 nucleotides in length. Their secondary structure includes four short double-helical elements and three loops (D, anti-codon, and T loops). The record is from Rfam by way of RNAcentral. Lineage: Bacteria; Pseudomonadati; Thermodesulfobacteriota; Desulfuromonadia; Geobacterales; Geobacteraceae.